AUUGAACGCUGGCGGCAGGCUUAACACAUGCAAGUCGAGCGGGGGAAGGUAGCUUGCUACUGGACCUAGCGGCGGACGGGUGAGUAAUGCUUAGGAAUCUGCCUAUUAGUGGGGGACAACAUCUCGAAAGGGAUGCUAAUACCGCAUACGUCCUACGGGAGAAAGCAGGGGAUCUUCGGACCUUGCGCUAAUAGAUGAGCCUAAGUUGGAUUAGCUAGUUGGUGGGGUAAAGGCCUACCAAGGCGACGAUCUGUAGCGGGUCUGAGAGGAUGAUCCGCCACACUGGGACUGAGACACGGCGCAGACUCCUACGGGAGGAAGCAGUGGGGAAUAUUGGACAAUGGGGGGAACCCUGAUCCAGCCAUGCCGCGUGUGUGAAGAAGGCCUUAUGGUUGUAAAGCACUUUAAGCGAGGAGGAGGCUACUCUAGUUAAUACCUAGGGAUAGUGGACGUUACUCGCAGAAUAAGCACCGGCUAACUCUGUGCCAGCCGCCGCCGUAA
RNAcentral lists this ribosomal RNA (501 nucleotides) under uncultured bacterium. RNAcentral's name for it is "partial 16S ribosomal RNA". It matches the Rfam family "Bacterial small subunit ribosomal RNA", at positions 30 to 523 of the family's 1533-position model. The record is from RNAcentral.